GUAGGUGAACCUGCGGAAGGAUCAUUAUUGAAAUAAACCUGAUGAGUUGCUGCUGGUUCUCCAGGGAGCAUGUGCACACUUGUCAUCUUUAUAUCUCCACCUGUGAACCUUUUGUAGACCUGGAUAUCUCUCUGAAUGCCUGACGAAUUCAGAUUUGAGGAUUGAUUUUUUCCUUCUUUCCUUGCAUUUUCAGGUCUAUGUUUUUCAUAUACCCCUAUGUAUGUUUAUAGAAUGUAAUAAACGGGCCUUUGUGCCUAUAAAACUAUACAACUUUCAGCAACGGAUCUCUUGGCUCUC
This 297-nucleotide unclassified non-coding RNA is filed under the name rhizosphere metagenome. Its description in RNAcentral is "partial ribosomal RNA internal transcribed spacer region". The record is from RNAcentral.